UACGUAGGUGGCAAGCGUUGUCCGGAUUUACUGGGCGUAAAGAGCGCGCAGGCGGUCGUACAAGUCGCGUGUGAAAGCCCCCGGCUCAACUGGGGAGGGUCACGCGAUACUGUUCGACUCGAAGGCAGGAGAGGGAAGCAGAAUUCCCGGUGUAGUGGUGAAAUGCGUAGAUAUCGAGAGGAACACCUGCGGCGAAGGCGGGUUGCUGGGCCGACACUGACGCUGAUGCGCGAAAGCCAGGGGAGCGAACGGG
Molecule: ribosomal RNA, 253 nt
Filed under: uncultured bacterium
Lineage: Bacteria
Description: partial 16S ribosomal RNA
Rfam family: Bacterial small subunit ribosomal RNA
Source: RNAcentral